GCGGGUGUGGUGGAAUUGGUAGACACAGCAGACUUAAAAUCUGCAGGCCGAAAGGCCGUGCCGGUUCGAGUCCGGCCACCCGCACCA
This 87-nucleotide transfer RNA is filed under the name Guyparkeria hydrothermalis. Its description in RNAcentral is "tRNA-Leu". It matches the Rfam family "tRNA". Rfam says of the family: Transfer RNA (tRNA) molecules are approximately 80 nucleotides in length. Their secondary structure includes four short double-helical elements and three loops (D, anti-codon, and T loops). Further hydrogen bonds mediate the characteristic L-shaped molecular structure. tRNAs have two regions of fundamental functional importance: the anti-codon, which is responsible for specific mRNA codon recognition, and the 3' end, to which the tRNAs corresponding amino acid is attached (by aminoacyl-tRNA synthetases). tRNAs cope with the degeneracy of the genetic code in two manners: having more than one tRNA (with a specific anti-codon) for a particular amino acid; and 'wobble' base-pairing, i.e. permitting non-standard base-pairing at the 3rd anti-codon position. The record is from RNAcentral. RNAcentral also lists the same sequence under 8 other names. Lineage: Bacteria; Pseudomonadati; Pseudomonadota; Gammaproteobacteria; Chromatiales; Thioalkalibacteraceae.